AGCAGCGUGGCUCAGUGGAAAGAGCAUGGGCUUGGAAAUCCAGAGGUCAUGGGUUUGAAUCCUGGCUCUGCAA
Ornithorhynchus anatinus (platypus) is the source of this 73-nucleotide non-coding RNA. NCBI's taxonomy places the organism in Eukaryota, Metazoa, Chordata, Mammalia, Monotremata, Ornithorhynchidae. The record is from Rfam.